RNAcentral lists this long non-coding RNA (507 nucleotides) under Lathyrus oleraceus (garden pea). RNAcentral describes it as "Pisum sativum (pea) long non-coding RNA (PSAT_LNC042243)". Lineage: Eukaryota; Viridiplantae; Streptophyta; Magnoliopsida; Fabales; Fabaceae. The record is from RNAcentral.
CUACGAAUAAUAUAAUUAUUUUUAGCAUUGCAUUAAAUUUACUCAUUAUAAAUUGAUCAUAUCAUACUCUAUUUUUAAAUGAAAAGAGAAAACACAAUGGUUAAAAUUCUCAAAUUUGAUUUUGCUAUAAUUUUGUUUCUCUCCCUGCUUCUUCUUUCAAAUAAGGCUAGCGGUAAAUUUAUUCGCACACUUAAAUAUUUCUGUUUUUUUUUUUUGUUGAAGUUCUUACACAAUUUUUUAUCUUGUUUUACUAACAUUUUUUUUUUCACAGCCGCGAUUAUUCCAUGUAAAAUUGAUGAAGAUUGUCCACAAACAAAGGUUGUUCACCUUAACAUGAAUACUUACUAUUAUAGGUGCAUUGACAAACUAUGUAGAUUUGUUAAAGAUAUGUAACAAACACUAUUGCUCUAAGGAAGAGUUAUUUCUUGAAAUAUCAUAAAAUAAAAGUAAUAUAUUUAUGUAAAAUAUUCCAUGAAUUUCCAUUUAAUUUAAGAUUCAUGUUUUUAA